AGGUACUGCUCUGUGAAAAAUUGAGACAUGCAUUUGCUUUUUUUGCUGAUAGCCAGUGAGAAGAUAUAGGCCUUGAGGUAGAGAUAAGGAAGAAAAGAAAACUCCUUUGCUCAGUGGAAAAAUGGAAGGGGAAAGGGGAAAAUGACGUGAUUUAAAAAUACAUCUAAAGACAGAAUAUACCAGAAUCCAGUGCCCACUGCUGCGCCCUCCACAUCUUCACGCAGCCCCUGACCUGUAAAGAAGUCUAACAAAUUGGCUUCUAUUGUGGAGCCAAAAGGUGCCAUCAAAGAAGGGACGGUUCGCUGGUCCUAAAGUAUGAUGGGAAAUCUCAGGCUGGAAUAAAGAGCUGCCGUUUUAUGAAGUUAACCCAUUAAGGUUAAAAGCAAGCAAGAAGCCGUGGCCGGUGGGGCAGCAGCACCAGAAAGAGCCUUCUUGUUCAAACACAGGAAAGGCAGCACGAGGUGAAGCAAGGGCCACACAAAGAACUGUUUUUAAAAAGACCUCGAGGGAUCUCUUCUGCUUGAAGAUACACAUUCAGCUCCUUCUUCCUUUCUCCAAAGUACCCACAGAAAAAAAAGUAAAUGAAGCUAGCAGCGGAAACAUCUUUGUACCCUUCGUUUCUCCACAAGGUUGUUGAGAUGAGAAAAGACAGUUGGAGCAGUAUUUCAACACAAAUGAAACUUCCCGUUUGCAAACUUUUAAAUCACUUAA
Molecule: long non-coding RNA, 711 nt
Organism: Equus quagga
Lineage: Eukaryota; Metazoa; Chordata; Mammalia; Perissodactyla; Equidae
Exons: 3
Source: RefSeq, a predicted model, not a curated record